GUGAGGAAUAUUGGUCUAUGGGCGAGAGCCUGAACCAGCCAAGUCGCGUGAAGGAUGAAGGUUUUAUGAAUUGUAAACUUCUUUUGCAGGGGAAUAAAGUGCAGGACGUGUCCUGUUUUGUAUGUACCCUGAGAAUAAGGAUCGGCUAACUCCGUGCCAGCAGCCGCGGUAAUACGGAGGAUCCGAGCGUUAUCCGGAUUUAUUGGGUUUAAAGGGUGCGUAGGUGGUUUGAUAAGUCAGCGGUGAAAGUUUGCAGCUUAACUGUAAAAAUGCCGGUGAAACUGUCGGACUUGAGUGUGAAUGAGGUAGGCGGAAUGCGUGGUGUAGCGGUGAAAUGCAUAGAUAUCACGCAGAACUCCGAUUGCGAAGGCAGCUUACUAAGCUACAACUGACACUGAAGCACGAAAGCGUGGGGAUCAAACAGGAUUAGAUACCCGGGUAGUCC
This 445-nucleotide ribosomal RNA is filed under the name uncultured bacterium. Its description in RNAcentral is "partial 16S ribosomal RNA". It matches the Rfam family "Bacterial small subunit ribosomal RNA", at positions 354 to 796 of the family's 1533-position model. The record is from RNAcentral.